AGUGAACGCUGGCGGUAGGCCUAACACAUGCAAGUCGAACGGCAGCACAGUAAGAGCUUGCUCUUACGGGUGGCGAGUGGCGGACGGGUGAGGAAUACAUCGGAAUCUACUUUUUCGUGGGGGAUAACGUAGGGAAACUUACGCUAAUACCGCAUACGACCUACGGGUGAAAGCAGGGGAUCUUCGGACCUUGCGCGAUUGAAUGAGCCGAUGUCGGAUUAGCUAGUUGGCGGGGUAAAGGCCCACCAAGGCGACGAUCCGUAGCUGGUCUGAGAGGAUGAUCAGCCACACUGGAACUGAGACACGGUCCAGACUCCUACGGGAGGCAGCAGUGGGGAAUAUUGGACCAUGGGCGCAAGCCUGAUCCAGCCAUACCGCGUGGGUGAAGAAGGUCUUCGGGUUGUAAAGCCCUUUUGUUGGGAAAGAAAAGCAGCAGGUUAAUACCCCGCUGUUCUGACGGUACCCAAAGAAUAAGCACCGGCUAACUUCGUG
This 492-nucleotide ribosomal RNA is filed under the name uncultured bacterium. RNAcentral describes it as "partial 16S ribosomal RNA". It matches the Rfam family "Bacterial small subunit ribosomal RNA", at positions 29 to 507 of the family's 1533-position model. The record is from RNAcentral.